This 478-nucleotide ribosomal RNA is filed under the name uncultured bacterium. Its description in RNAcentral is "partial 16S ribosomal RNA". It matches the Rfam family "Bacterial small subunit ribosomal RNA", at positions 28 to 523 of the family's 1533-position model. The record is from RNAcentral.
GACGAACGCUGGCGGCGCGCUUAAAACAUGCAAGUCGAACGAGAACCCAGAGCUUGCUCUGGCGGAAAGUGGCGAACGGGUGAGUAACAUGUGAGAAACCUGCCCCGAAGACAGGGAUAAGCCUUGGAAACGAGGUCUAAUACCUGAUACCUUUUCUUUAUCACAUGGUAGAGAAAAGAAAACUCCGGUGCUUCGGGAUGGUCUCGCGACCUAUCAGCUUGUUGGUGAGGUAAAGGCUCACCAAGGCAUCGACGGGUAGCUGGUCUGAGAGGAUGUCCAGCCACACUGGGACUGAGCUACGGCCCAGACUCCUACGGGAGGCAGCAGUUAGGAAUUUUGCACAAUGGGGGAAACCCUGAUGCAGCGACGCCGCGUGCGGGAUGAAGGCCCUAGGGUUGUAAACCGCUUUCAGUAGGGAAGAAAGUGACGGUACCUACAGAAGAAGCUCCGGCCAACUACGUGCCAGCAGCCGCCGUAA